UUCUGUUUACUUGAAGUUAAUUUUUUGGUGAAAAAGCUAAAGUUUUCUUAGAGGACGAUAAGACCCUAUAGAUCUUUAUAAGAUUAUCUUAGUUUCUUAGAUGUUAUCAAACUAAUAAACCUCUUAUUUCGUUGGGGCGACGUUGAGGGUUGAUUAAUCUCUCAAAAUGACUUUACAUCUAUAAAUGAAUUUUGAUCCUUUGGUGAAUUAGGAUAAAGUUACCUUAGGGAUAACAGCGUAAUUUUUCUUGAGAGUUCUUAUCG
RNAcentral lists this ribosomal RNA (263 nucleotides) under Branchinella nichollsi. Its description in RNAcentral is "partial 16S ribosomal RNA". Lineage: Eukaryota; Metazoa; Arthropoda; Branchiopoda; Anostraca; Thamnocephalidae. The record is from RNAcentral.